Molecule: ribosomal RNA, 429 nt
Filed under: Bacteroidota bacterium
Lineage: Bacteria; Pseudomonadati; Bacteroidota
Description: Bacteroidetes bacterium partial 16S ribosomal RNA
Rfam family: Bacterial small subunit ribosomal RNA
Source: RNAcentral
UAGGGAAUCUUCGGCAAUGGGGGGAACCCUGACCGAGCAACGCCGCGUGAGUGAAGAAGGUUUUCGGAUCGUAAAGCUCUGUUGUUAAGGAAGAACGAGUGUGAGAAUGGAAAGUUCAUACUGUGACGGUACUUAACCAGAAAGGGACGGCUAACUACGUGCCAGCAGCCGCGGUAAUACGUAGGUCCCGAGCGUUGGCCGGAUUUAUUGGGCGUAAAGCGAGCGCAGGCGGUUAGAUAAGUCUGAAGUUAAAGGCAGUGGCUCAACCAUUGUAGGCUUUGGAAACUGUUUAACUUGAGUGCAGAAGGGGAGAGUGGAAUUCCAUGUGUAGCGGUGAAAUGCGUAGAUAUAUGGAGGAACACCGGUGGCGAAAGCGGCUCUCUGGUCUGUAACUGACGCGGAGGCUCGAAAGCGUGGGGAGCGAACAGG